ACAGGCUUAACACAUGCAAGUCGAGGGGCAGCAUGGUCUUAGCUUGCUAAGGCUGAUGGCGACCGGCGCACGGGUGAGUAACACGUAUCCAACCUGCCGUCUACUCUUGGCCAGCCUUCUGAAAGGAAGAUUAAUCCAGGAUGGCAUCAUGAGUUCACAUGUCCGCAUGAUUAAAGGUAUUUUCCGGUAGACGAUGGGGAUGCGUUCCAUUAGAUAGUAGGCGGGGUAACGGCCCACCUAGUCAACGAUGGAUAGGGGUUCUGAGAGGAAGGUCCCCCACAUUGGAACUGAGACACGGUCCAAACUCCUACGGGAGGCAGCAGUGAGGAAUAUUGGUCAAUGGGCGAUGGCCUGAACCAGCCAAGUAGCGUGAAGGAUGACUGCCCUAUGGGUUGUAAACUUCUUUUAUAAAGGAAUAAAGUCGGGUAUGCAUACCCGUUUGCAUGUACUUUAUGAAUAAGGAUCGGCUAACUCCGUGCCAGCAGCCGCGGUAAUACGGAGGAUCCGAGCGUUAUCCGGAUUUAUUGGGUUUAAAGGGAGCGUAGAUGGAUGUUUAAGUCAGUUGUGAAAGUUUGCGGCUCAACCGUAAAAUUGCAGUUGAUACUGGAUGUCUUGAGUGCAGUUGAGGCAGGCGGAAUUCGUGGUGUAGCGGUGAAAUGCUUAGAUAUCACGAAGAACUCCGAUUGCGAAGGCAGCCUGCUAAGCUGCAACCGACAUUGAGGCUCG
This 726-nucleotide ribosomal RNA is filed under the name uncultured Bacteroidales bacterium. RNAcentral describes it as "bacterial SSU rRNA". It matches the Rfam family "Bacterial small subunit ribosomal RNA", at positions 42 to 755 of the family's 1533-position model. The record is from RNAcentral. Lineage: Bacteria; Pseudomonadati; Bacteroidota; Bacteroidia; Bacteroidales.